CUUUGCCAAGGCACCUUCUGAUUGGUUUAAUAAAAGACAUAACUGGCCAAUAGCUAGGCAGGGAGAGGUUAGGCAGGAGAGCCAAACUGAGAGGAAGCUGGGAAAGAAGACAGACGGAGUCACAGGAGAUGAAAAUGCCCUGCUGAAAAAGUUAAACUGGAGAAUCCCCUGUGACUUCAGAAGCACCUUUAAAGUAAUGGAAAUUACAAUGUACUCUGGAGAGAGUUAUGAGGAUUUAAUUAAAGUCAGCUUGUCCUACUUUCCAUAGUUUCUCCAGAGCUGAGAAGAGAUGGUGGUGGAGAGUACAUAAGAUACAUUUGAUAUUGAAAAUAUAAAAUUUAAUAGGAACCUCCACAGCUUCUGUUCCAAAUGCCUGUUCAAACUGUAUAGAAGUUCAUGGCAUUGUAUAGACUUCAGGUCUGGUUAUUUGGGCUUUUCUUUUAGGGGAAGAAGGAUCUGUUUCAGCUCAUGAUGGAGAAGGCAAGAGGCUGGAGAUGGAGGGGCUAGGCUGCUUGCCUGAGUCUCUACGGAUCAGCAAGCAGAGCAAGAGUUCCCAUUCUGUACAGAGAAAUUGUCUUUUAAAAGUCAGCUAAAUGAAGAAAGACCACAACAUCUUGAUUUUACUUAAUAAACAGACUGAUGAUAAGAGAAACACUUUUCCUCAUUGUAUGAGUCAUGAAAAAUUUUCAAGAGAUA
This 696-nucleotide long non-coding RNA is filed under the name Cricetulus griseus (Chinese hamster). RNAcentral's name for it is "lncRNA (ENSCGRG00015037384.1)". The record is from RNAcentral. Lineage: Eukaryota; Metazoa; Chordata; Mammalia; Rodentia; Cricetidae.